CAAAUGGCCCUUUUCAGGGCCCAAAUUAUUUUUAACGAGAAAUAA
This is a non-coding RNA of Trachymyrmex septentrionalis, 45 nucleotides long. NCBI's taxonomy places the organism in Eukaryota, Metazoa, Arthropoda, Insecta, Hymenoptera, Formicidae. The record is from Rfam.